CCGUCGUUUCUCUUCCGUCUUCAUCGUUCAGCAGCGAUCUAAGCUCUACUCCACCGUCUUCCCGCCGUCGCAAAUAGGUACUACUCCGUCGGUCUUACUCGCAAAUCGAAUAUGAGAUGGACAAGCGUUGUGAUGUUCACCAAAAGGUUUGGAGGCGUCUCUUAUGAAUGGCGUUGCAA
Cynara cardunculus var. scolymus (artichoke) is the source of this 179-nucleotide long non-coding RNA. RefSeq lists it as uncharacterized. The transcript has 4 exons. The record is from RefSeq and is a predicted model, not a curated record. Lineage: Eukaryota; Viridiplantae; Streptophyta; Magnoliopsida; Asterales; Asteraceae.